Molecule: unclassified non-coding RNA, 173 nt
Filed under: uncultured Chaetothyriales
Lineage: Eukaryota; Fungi; Ascomycota; Eurotiomycetes; Chaetothyriales
Description: sequence contains ITS1
Source: RNAcentral
CCGAGUCAGGGUCUCUCAGGCCCGAAACUCCAACCCUGUGUCUAUUUACCACGUUGCUUUGGCGGGCCCGCCUUAACCGGCCGCUGGAGAUUUGUCUCUCGCCAGUGCCCGUCAGUAGCCCCCCCACAAAUUCUUUAUCACAGUGAUGUCUGAGUACAAAUAUAAUAGUUAAA